This is a long non-coding RNA of Mus musculus (house mouse), 1245 nucleotides long. RefSeq annotates it as predicted gene, 45990. The record is from RefSeq and is a predicted model, not a curated record. The transcript has 2 exons. Lineage: Eukaryota; Metazoa; Chordata; Mammalia; Rodentia; Muridae.
AUUGGAUGGAGGACCUCAUAGCCUCUCCUUUCUCUCCAAGGAACUCGGAAAACACCAUUUUGUUUCCAACACUGCUCCUGGGCUGGCAGCCCCUGUGUUUUGUCUCUGUAAGCAUGUGUCCAUGUGUUCAGAAAAUGUCUCUUGAAGACCCAGAGUGAAUUUGGUGACUCCAGGAGGAAAUGGAACCUUAGCAGCUAUCCACGAUAAUUCACUAUCCAAACCUAGAUCCUCUCUAGAUGGAAAAGGAUGGUUGAUAUGAAUUUUGCUGUGACAACAGGUCUAAGCUUGUCAAGGAAGAGAGAAUGGAGGAUUUUGUGGCCCAAGUGUCCUUGGCAGAGCAGGGAAACACUGAAACUUUUUAGGAAAGUACAAUAAACAGGAUGGGUGUGUUGAAAGCACAGGACAUAGUCUAUACCUGUAUAGAAAUGUGUUUGAGAGGCAUGGAUAAGCAGGCUUUAACAUAUGACAGUAGCCAUUUCAUUACAGUGGAGGGGGCUGAUGGAUAUGUAUAGCAGGCCUAGAUAUGAGAGGCCUGCUGAAGAUAAAAACCAGCUCAACUGGAGCUCCUUUGGAUGGAGUUAGGGGACUAAAGAGUACAGAGAAUAAGGAUGGAACCUUUCAAUAUAUCUACAAAGGCUGGAUCCUAAUGUGAUUCCCUACGAACUGGCACAGCAAAAUGGAGGUUCUUCAGAAACAAUUAAUUCUAUUAGAAGGACUGGAGUAAGAAAAAUUGAUUCCAGCUGAACGAAAAACUGGUCCUCUUCUGCCUUCCUGCCUCCAGGAGCCACAGAAACUACCUAUGUGGAUUUUCAGGAUUAAAAAGACAAUGGCACUUACCAGCUUUUCAGCAAGACCUGUGCCAAGACAGAAGGUGAAUUUCUUAUCUUUAAAGAGAAACACAGGCAAGAAAGAAGAGCAGGAACCCGUCAGGCUUUUACACCUUCCUGUAAAGGCAACUGCCUCUGUGUGAGUUUUUAUUGUACUCCAUACAUACUUCAGUCUUAGAAACUCACUACAUCUUGUGGAGUGUGUUAUCCUUGCCUCUUGCCCCUAGUAUACACUGAGCUAUCUUAAAUUGUAUCUUUGAUGCCUUGCACAAGUCUGAUGCCUUAGCACAUAAUAGAUGCUCAGGAAAAUAUACAUUAAUGUGAAGUGGCAACAAUUUAGUUGUAAACUGUGGAUAGUAUUUCCUUUACUUUGGGAUAAAACAGAAUAGUAACGCUUAUUUAGGUUUGUUUUGCUUUA